Molecule: ribosomal RNA, 115 nt
Filed under: Staphylococcus aureus
Lineage: Bacteria; Bacillati; Bacillota; Bacilli; Caryophanales; Staphylococcaceae
Source: RNAcentral
UCUGGGGACUGUCACAAGGAGGUCAGAUCUUUUCCCAUGCCGAACACAGAAGUUAAACUCCUUAGCGUCGGUGGUAGUCGAACUUACGAUUCGCUAGCGUAGAGCGAUGCUAGGC